GUCACUUCUGGGGAGGGUCACUGCUGGGGAGAAGCUUCUCGGAGCCCCUGGCAAAGGUGAGCAGCGAGGACCAUGAAUGUGAAACCAACCUUGGUCCUUCUGUCUUCCUGGGAUGUGGGGGUGGGGGCUGCUGUGGUGGGACUGAGCCCACCCUAACUCGAGCUGUCAUUUCCCUUCAUGCUGCUGUCCUAGGAAAUGCUGAAUCAAAAUAGAAGGUGGGAGAAAGUAGGAGAAUACAUUCCAAGGGGCAAAUGGAAAUAGAAGAAAGGUAACAUUGGCCUGCAAUGCUGCGUAUGAUUCAGAGGUGCAGGUCCUCCCUUCUUCAGAUGCCUGCACCCUCUCCGUGCCUAUCCAUAACCAUCAUCCUCAUGAACUCUGGGCGUCUGAAAUAGGCUUAGCCUAUCAAAAUCACAGAUGACUGGGCCUGGCACUUGAUAUGAUGAGAAAAGUCUGAGGAAAUGAAGAUGUGAGCAGAGACUUGAGCUUCCACAUAGUAGCAUCUCAUCUAAUCUCACAA
Molecule: long non-coding RNA, 517 nt
Organism: Talpa occidentalis (Iberian mole)
Lineage: Eukaryota; Metazoa; Chordata; Mammalia; Eulipotyphla; Talpidae
Exons: 3
Source: RefSeq, a predicted model, not a curated record